Molecule: ribosomal RNA, 1263 nt
Filed under: Bacillus pumilus
Lineage: Bacteria; Bacillati; Bacillota; Bacilli; Caryophanales; Bacillaceae
Description: bacterial SSU rRNA
Rfam family: Bacterial small subunit ribosomal RNA
Source: RNAcentral
GCGGCGGACGGGUGAGUAACACGUGGGUAACCUGCCUGUAAGACUGGGAUAACUCCGGGAAACCGGAGCUAAUACCGGAUAGUUCCUUGAACCGCAUGGUUCAAGGAUGAAAGACGGUUUCGGCUGUCACUUACAGAUGGACCCGCGGCGCAUUAGCUAGUUGGUGAGGUAACGGCUCACCAAGGCGACGAUGCGUAGCCGACCUGAGAGGGUGAUCGGCCACACUGGGACUGAGACACGGCCCAGACUCCUACGGGAGGCAGCAGUAGGGAAUCUUCCGCAAUGGACGAAAGUCUGACGGAGCAACGCCGCGUGAGUGAUGAAGGUUUUCGGAUCGUAAAGCUCUGUUGUUAGGGAAGAACAAGUGCAAGAGUAACUGCUUGCACCUUGACGGUACCUAACCAGAAAGCCACGGCUAACUACGUGCCAGCAGCCGCGGUAAUACGUAGGUGGCAAGCGUUGUCCGGAAUUAUUGGGCGUAAAGGGCUCGCAGGCGGUUUCUUAAGUCUGAUGUGAAAGCCCCCGGCUCAACCGGGGAGGGUCAUUGGAAACUGGGAAACUUGAGUGCAGAAGAGGAGAGUGGAAUUCCACGUGUAGCGGUGAAAUGCGUAGAGAUGUGGAGGAACACCAGUGGCGAAGGCGACUCUCUGGUCUGUAACUGACGCUGAGGAGCGAAAGCGUGGGGAGCGAACAGGAUUAGAUACCCUGGUAGUCCACGCCGUAAACGAUGAGUGCUAAGUGUUAGGGGGUUUCCGCCCCUUAGUGCUGCAGCUAACGCAUUAAGCACUCCGCCUGGGGAGUACGGUCGCAAGACUGAAACUCAAAGGAAUUGACGGGGGCCCGCACAAGCGGUGGAGCAUGUGGUUUAAUUCGAAGCAACGCGAAGAACCUUACCAGGUCUUGACAUCCUCUGACAACCCUAGAGAUAGGGCUUUCCCUUCGGGGACAGAGUGACAGGUGGUGCAUGGUUGUCGUCAGCUCGUGUCGUGAGAUGUUGGGUUAAGUCCCGCAACGAGCGCAACCCUUGAUCUUAGUUGCCAGCAUUCAGUUGGGCACUCUAAGGUGACUGCCGGUGACAAACCGGAGGAAGGUGGGGAUGACGUCAAAUCAUCAUGCCCCUUAUGACCUGGGCUACACACGUGCUACAAUGGACAGAACAAAGGGCUGCGAGACCGCAAGGUUUAGCCAAUCCCACAAAUCUGUUCUCAGUUCGGAUCGCAGUCUGCAACUCGACUGCGUGAAGCUGGAAUCGCUAGUAAUCGC